UACGGAGGGUGCAAGCGUUGUCCGGAUUUAUUGGGUUUAAAGGGUGCGUAGGUGGCCUUAUAAGUCAGCGGUGAAAGUCUGCAGCUUAACUGUAGAACUGCCAUUGAUACUGUAAGGCUUGAGUACUGAUGAGGUAGGCGGAAUUGAUAGUGUAGCGGUGAAAUGCAUAGAUAUUAUCAAGAACACCGAUUGCGAAGGCAGCUUACUAAGGAGUUACUGACGCUGAGGCACGAAAGCGUGGGGAGCGAACAGG
Molecule: ribosomal RNA, 253 nt
Filed under: uncultured bacterium
Lineage: Bacteria
Description: partial 16S ribosomal RNA
Rfam family: Bacterial small subunit ribosomal RNA
Source: RNAcentral